AAUUCCAAAGGCUAAGGAAAGCAUUGCGCAUGCGGGAAACCCACGCUGAGGGAAGAAUCAUGGGAAAGAGUAGAGACGGGGUUCCACCGUGUUAGCCAGGAUGGUCUCGAUCUCCUGACCUCGUCAUCCUCCCGCCUUGGCCUCCCAAAGUGCUGGGAUUACAGGCUUGAGCCACCGCGCCCCGCUCUUUCGUGUUCCAAAGGCUUUUUAAAUAAACUUCCACUCCUGUCCUGGAUUCUGCUUUAUGGCCCUCAGUCGAAUUCUUUCUUCUGAGGAGGCAAGGACUGAAGUUGCUUCUGACCAGUACAGGUACGCCGCAGGAGAAAACGAAUACAGCAGGGAUGACUUCCACCAGCUCCACUUUGCAGCUCUGAGGUGUAUUAAAAAUGACCUGGAAGAAGUCAUGCCACGGGCCAGACCUUAACAUUCCUUUCGGCUUACCCCAGGAUUUCAGACGAAGCUUCACUUUCCUAACCAGUCACAAAUCAGAGAAUUUUUGAUUCCACCUAUGACCUGUGAGCUCCUGCUUCAAGAUAUUCCACCUUUUUUAGGCCAAACCAAUGUAUAACCUCCAAGUGUCGAUUUACACUUUCGACUGUAACUUCUGCUUUCCUGAGAUUUACCCCUGCCUUUAAAAACCCUUGCUUGUAAUCCCUCAGGGAGGCCGUGUAUUUAUUAAUCAUGAGCUGCCCAAUUCUCCUUGCUUGGUGCCCUGCAAAUAAACACCCUCUUUUCUCCCACUGCAAAACCUCAGUGUGGAUGUUUGGCUUUACUUCACCCCCAGGAAAGCAGACCCAGGUUUGACUCAGCAACAACAUCUGUUUCUAUUUUUCUCUGUAUAAAUAUUAAAAACCAUAAGUACAUGCUAUCUCCAAUUCCAAUAUAAACCCAUAGGGCUCAUUCUGGCCUUCCCAUUUUCUUAUGUGUAAUUCAUUUCUCUGAAAAUGAGAAUUCGAGUACUCAGAUAUUUACUUACCUACUCAAUCCUAGAAUAGAAAUAAAAUAAUUCAACAUAA
This 1016-nucleotide small RNA is filed under the name Homo sapiens (human). RNAcentral describes it as "PPP1R3B divergent transcript (ENSG00000285236.3)". The record is from RNAcentral. Lineage: Eukaryota; Metazoa; Chordata; Mammalia; Primates; Hominidae.